AGCGGCGGACGGGUGAGUAACGCGUGGGUAACCUGCCUCAUACAGGGGGAUAACAGUUGGAAACGACUGCUAAUACCGCAUAAGCGCACAGUACCGCAUGGUACCGUGUGAAAAACUCCGGUGGUAUGAGAUGGACCCGCGUCUGAUUAGCUAGUUGGUGGGGUAACGGCCUACCAAGGCGACGAUCAGUAGCCGACCUGAGAGGGUGACCGGCCACAUUGGGACUGAGACACGGCCCAA
RNAcentral lists this ribosomal RNA (240 nucleotides) under uncultured bacterium. RNAcentral describes it as "partial 16S ribosomal RNA". It matches the Rfam family "Bacterial small subunit ribosomal RNA", at positions 94 to 334 of the family's 1533-position model. The record is from RNAcentral.